This 463-nucleotide ribosomal RNA is filed under the name uncultured bacterium. RNAcentral describes it as "bacterial SSU rRNA". It matches the Rfam family "Bacterial small subunit ribosomal RNA", at positions 28 to 507 of the family's 1533-position model. The record is from RNAcentral.
GAUGAGCGCUGGCGGUAUGCCUAACACAUGCAAGUCGUACGCCUCACUUCGGUGAGGAGUGGCGGACGGGUGAGUAACACGUUAGUACCUGCCCCAAAGUGGGGAAUAACUGCCCGAAAGGGUAGCUAAUACCCCAUAGUCUCCGGUUUAUCCGGAGUAAAGAUUUAUCGCUUUGGGAGGGGCUUGCGUUUGAUUAGCUAGUUGGUGAGGGUAAUGGCCCACCAAGGCGACGAUCAAUAGCUGGAUCGAGAGGUUGACCAGCCACACUGGGACUGAGACACGGACCAGACUCCUACGGGAGGCAGCAGUGAGGAAUAUUGGUCAAUGGGCGCAAGCCUGAACCAGCCAUCCCGCGUGAAGGAAGAAUGCGCUACGCGUUGUAAACUUCUUUUCCAGGGGGAGAAUAAUCCUGUCGUGACAGGACUUGACGGUACUCUGGGAAUAAGCAUCGGCUAACUCCGUG